Molecule: transfer RNA, 77 nt
Filed under: Helicobacteraceae bacterium
Lineage: Bacteria; Pseudomonadati; Campylobacterota; Epsilonproteobacteria; Campylobacterales; Helicobacteraceae
Description: tRNA-Asp
Rfam family: tRNA
About the family: Transfer RNA (tRNA) molecules are approximately 80 nucleotides in length. Their secondary structure includes four short double-helical elements and three loops (D, anti-codon, and T loops). Further hydrogen bonds mediate the characteristic L-shaped molecular structure. tRNAs have two regions of fundamental functional importance: the anti-codon, which is responsible for specific mRNA codon recognition, and the 3' end, to which the tRNAs corresponding amino acid is attached (by aminoacyl-tRNA synthetases). tRNAs cope with the degeneracy of the genetic code in two manners: having more than one tRNA (with a specific anti-codon) for a particular amino acid; and 'wobble' base-pairing, i.e. permitting non-standard base-pairing at the 3rd anti-codon position.
Source: RNAcentral
GGUUCGGUAGCUCAGUCGGUUAGAGCGCCGCCCUGUCACGGCGGAGGUCGCGGGUACGAGCCCCGUCCGGACCGCCA